RNAcentral lists this ribosomal RNA (691 nucleotides) under Camptostemon schultzii. RNAcentral's name for it is "eukaryotic LSU rRNA". The stretch from base 278 to 433 matches the Rfam family "5.8S ribosomal RNA". Lineage: Eukaryota; Viridiplantae; Streptophyta; Magnoliopsida; Malvales; Malvaceae. The record is from RNAcentral.
CCCGCCCGGCGGAACGACCCGCGAACGCGUAAUCGGAACAACACCGCGAGGUGGCCGCCCCUCGUCACCCCGUUGCCGCGGAGCGCUCGACCCCGCCUCUCCAUCCCCCUCGGGCGGGUGGGAUGCCGGGACCCGUCUCUCCGAGGCGAAUCGAACAACCCCCGGCGCGAGUCGCGCCAAGGAAUGGUAAUGUGAAAGGGGCACGUCCGCCGUCGUCGCACCGUUGGUGGUGACCGUGCGACGGGGAUGCGGCUGCUCCGUCGCGGAAAUACGAAACGACUCUCGGCAACGGAUAUCUCGGCUCCCGCAUCGAUGAAGAACGUAGCGAAAUGCGAUACUUGGUGUGAAUUGCAGAAUCCCGUGAACCAUCGAGUGUUUGAACGCAAGUUGCGCCCCAGGCCGUUAGGCCGAGGGCACGUCUGCCUGGGUGUCACGCAUCGUCGCCCCCCGUCCAAGCCUACGCCCUCGGGCUCCGGUUUAAAUGCGGGCGGAAAAUGGCUUCCCGUGCGCUCUCCGCCGGCGGUUGGCCUAAAAUCGAGUCCUCGGCGACGAAAGCGCCGCGACGACCGGUGGUGAUGCUCCGAGACGCCUCGUCCGAAGUCGUGCGCGCUCGUCGGGAAGGACCUCCCCACGACCCUCUUCUGCGCAAGGUGCGGUGCCGGCAUCGCGACCCCAGGUCNGGCGGGACCAC